Molecule: ribosomal RNA, 652 nt
Filed under: Coccinia grandis
Lineage: Eukaryota; Viridiplantae; Streptophyta; Magnoliopsida; Cucurbitales; Cucurbitaceae
Description: eukaryotic LSU rRNA
Rfam family: 5.8S ribosomal RNA (bases 226-381)
Source: RNAcentral
UCGAUGCCUAAACAUCAAACGACCCGCGAACGCGUUUACAAACAAACUGUCCGCGCCGGGGGGCGGGGGGUGGCAUGCUCUCUGCCUGUCCCCCUCCCCCCCUCGACGCGCCUACAACCAAACCCCGGCGCAGGUCGCGCCAAGGAACUUGAAAUGAAUCUGCCUGCCCCCUGCCCCGGCCUCGGCGCGCGGGGGGCGGAGCGUUCUUGUCGUAUUACUCACAACGACUCUCGGCAACGGAUAUCGCGGCUCUCGCAUCUAUGAGGAAGGUAGCGAAAUGCUAUACUUGGAGUGAAGUGGAGGAUCCUGUGAACCACAGAGUCUUUGAUCGCGGGAUGCGCGCAGAUCCUUCUGGCCGAUGGUGCGUCUGCCUGGGCGUCACGGGGAGCUUCCCCCCCUCCCAAACUCGUUGGUCCUCACUGCUGGCAUCCUUUUGUUCAAACGUCCGCUCCGUCGCGCGGAUGGCUUAAAUUCGACUCCUCGGCGCCCGUCGUCGCGACACUCCGGUGGUUGAGCCAACCUCGGUACCGCCUGCCGGCCUCGACGUCCGCCCCUCUUGGGCUGCUAUGCCGACCCUCUCAACGCCUGUACUCGAAGCACCUCAACGUCAACAACAGUCGGGUGAGGCCCGACUACACGCGGAGUUUAAGCA